This 457-nucleotide long non-coding RNA is filed under the name Triticum aestivum (bread wheat). RNAcentral describes it as "long non-coding RNA (TAES_LNC015203)". The record is from RNAcentral. Lineage: Eukaryota; Viridiplantae; Streptophyta; Magnoliopsida; Poales; Poaceae.
GAACAAAACCAGUGUACCCCAAAUGGCUAGGAUUGUCAGGUAAUAGUACUGAAGCAUGUUAACCAGAAACAUGUAAAGAUACCCUAAACAGUUCAAGAGUGUCCACGUAUGAUUCACUCUAGACUGUUGACCGGGUCUUGGCCCAUUCCUCACACACAACUUUUCGACAAACUUUAUUCAAGCCCUACAAUAAGCCUACUAGACGGUAAGCAAAGUCGACCAAGUCACCUUCACUGAGAUCAACCCAAAACCAGUCUUUAUCUCUCGAGUAUCAAGUCCAUGCGUGUCUGCCUUGAAGGAACAACAUCGUUCCACUGAACCAGAUGGCCCCGAGGCCACCUUGAACUUCAAAACCAGAGUGGAACCAUCCACUACAGCAACCACAGACCUCUUUAAAUGACGUGACUCGCCAAUUGUACCAUUGAACAGCCGAAUUCCUUCGUUAUAAUCACCGAUA